Mauremys reevesii (Reeves's turtle) is the source of this 494-nucleotide long non-coding RNA. RefSeq lists it as uncharacterized. The record is from RefSeq and is a predicted model, not a curated record. The transcript is spliced from 3 exons. NCBI's taxonomy places the organism in Eukaryota, Metazoa, Chordata, Testudines, Geoemydidae.
UCAUGAUCUAGCAGUUGUCCUGCAAGAAAACCCUGGAAGGUGGAAGCCAUGACAUUUUGCAAAACAGUGUCUGAGGCUCCCUUCACCCCACUGGAGAAGAAGAGGACUAGAAAUGCUGCAGACUGCAAGUUACGAUUGCCAUUGCAGAGCCACAUCGGGAGUUUGAAGCAGAAUGUGAGAGACCAUAGCCUGUUUCCUGGACUUUAAGGAGGUUACAGUCCCUACAGAGAAUCAGGACACCAUCCCACAAUGACUGAGAAGUGUAAAUCCUCCCGGAGAAGAGCCCUAAGGGAAUAUAUUUGCUAUCUCAGUCUGUUCUACCUAGGAACAUGGCAAAGGGGAGCAGUGAGGGCGGUGCCUGUGGGCAGUGUGCAGAGCCUCCUGGCCAUGUCUCCGCCUACGGGCCAGACAUGCCUGCCACUUGUGGGAGCUGCAUGGAACCAGGGCAGGCAGGGAACCUGCCUUAGCCGCACUGUGCCACCGACCGGGAGCUG